CACGCACGCACGUAUGAAACUCGCUUUUCUUUCCCUUCUUAUCUCGUGUUUAUUGUGUACUAGUACUGUCACUUUUCAUUAUUCCCACUCACAGGGACAAUUCCGUCAAUUUGUUUUCUAUAUAGUCUUUCCUUUCCGUUUUCUCUCAGCAUUUCCACUUUGACUGUACUCUCUCUCUCUCCCUCUCUCUCGGUGCAGUGCGGUUUUUCGAUCUGAGUUUGAAGUUCCAAGAAUUCAGCGGCUAAAAGGGUUGAUGAAUUGGUUUUGGUGAAGGGAACAACUGUGGCGAUAUUCUUGGGAGAGAAACACUAUGCGGUGGUUCCUGAGUCUUUCUAUUGAUGUGUAUCGGAAAGUUAUCUCAUUGAAUCUCUAUUGUAAAGUUAUCCUGUAAAUUCCUUUACAAGCCUCGCCUUAAAUUCUGAACGUUUUUCGUCUUGUAACUCGAUGGGAUCCACUUUCUUCGUUGUCGUUCCCUGUUACGUUCGUCAGAUUAGCUGAACAGUAGCAAAUCCAAUAUCCUCUCUGCUUUCUUUCUCAUUUUGUUUCCUGGGUGAAAAAUCUGAUUGCUUGUUGUUUAUUUCUUGGUCUGGUUAUCCCUCCAGUUACGUGUAUUAGGUGUCCCUUUGCUGACGAUUAAUCUAGUUUUCUGUGUUCAAUUAAUAUUGUCCCUUUGUUUGUUC
Molecule: long non-coding RNA, 680 nt
Organism: Populus trichocarpa (black cottonwood)
Lineage: Eukaryota; Viridiplantae; Streptophyta; Magnoliopsida; Malpighiales; Salicaceae
Exons: 2
Source: RefSeq, a predicted model, not a curated record